Molecule: ribosomal RNA, 253 nt
Filed under: uncultured bacterium
Lineage: Bacteria
Description: partial 16S ribosomal RNA
Rfam family: Bacterial small subunit ribosomal RNA
Source: RNAcentral
UACGUAGGGUGCGAGCGUUAAUCGGAAUUACUGGGCGUAAAGCGUGCGCAGGCGGGCUUUUAAGCCAGACGUGAAAUCCCCGGGCUUAACCUGGGAAUGGCGUUUGGGACUGGGAGUCUGGAGUACGGCAGAGGAGACUGGAAUUCCUGGUGUAGCAGUGAAAUGCGUAGAUAUCUGGAGGAACACCGGUGGCGAAGGCGGCAUCCUGGACCGGUAUUGACGCUGAGGAGCGAAAGCCAGGGGAGCAAACGGG